Carassius carassius (crucian carp) is the source of this 662-nucleotide long non-coding RNA. RefSeq lists it as uncharacterized. The transcript has 2 exons. Lineage: Eukaryota; Metazoa; Chordata; Actinopteri; Cypriniformes; Cyprinidae. The record is from RefSeq and is a predicted model, not a curated record.
GUAAGUCACUUUGGAUAAAAGCGUCAGCUAAAUGAAUAAAUGUAAAAUGAAUAAAUGUUAUGUGGCAGGUAGCCGUGAAAUAAGCAGGAUAAUGUACAUCCAACCGGUUGUUCUUGCAGAAUAACAAUGAUCAGGACCCCGACGCGAAAAAUCCAGAUGUAAAACGAGCAAAAUUGUGGCACUGACUCUCUGAGGAAUCAAAAGUGCACCGUUCAUGAAAGCAAAGAGGCUUUCCAACUAAUGUAAAUCAAUAAUUACAUUACCGAGUGCCUGCAGUAUUCUGUUUUGACACACGGCUUCCUCCAAAAGUGAAUUGUUGAACUGGGAUAUUCCAUCAACAAACUUAAACAUGUAGCCUUCAUAUUUUAUUUCUUGGAUGGGAUUUUGGGCUUUUUCUGUUUAUUUCUUUUUUGUUGUUGUUGUUUUACAUAAUUUAGAUAAGUUGUAUAAUAAUAUUGAUAAAAUUUAAUAUUGAUUCUUGUAAUGAUUAAGAUAUUGUACUGUUAAACUUUUACAUCUGUACUGUACUGUAAAUAUAGAUGUUUUCCAUUAUUUGAGGUUCAAAUCGAAAUUGUUACAUUUUGUAUAUAUUGGUUGCUUUAAAAACAUUGUAAACUUAUUUUGAUCCUUUACAAAUAAAUAAACUUCACAAAAAAGGCCAA